This 433-nucleotide ribosomal RNA is filed under the name uncultured bacterium. RNAcentral describes it as "partial 16S ribosomal RNA". It matches the Rfam family "Bacterial small subunit ribosomal RNA", at positions 29 to 507 of the family's 1533-position model. The record is from RNAcentral.
AACGAACGCUGGCGGCAUGCCUAACACAUGCAAGUCGAACGAGACCUUCGGGUCUAGUGGCGCACGGGUGCGUAACGCGUGGGAACCUGCCCUUAGGUUCGGAAUAACUCCCCGAAAGGGGUGCUAAUACCGGAUAAUGUCUUCGGACCAAAGAUUUAGCGCCUUUGGAUGGGCCCGCGUUGGAUUAGCUAGUUGGUAGGGUAAAAGCCUACCAAGGCGACGAUCCAUAGCUGGUCUGAGAGGAUGAUCAGCCACACUGGGACUGAGACACGGCCCAGACUCCUACGGGAGGCAGCAGUGGGGAAUAUUGGACAAUGGGCGAAAGGCUGAUCCAGCAAUGCCGCGUGAGUGAUGAAGGCCGUAGGGUUGUAAAGCUCUUUUACCCGGGAUGAUAAUGACAGUACCGGGAGAAUAAGCUCCGGCUAACUCCGUG